This 328-nucleotide ribosomal RNA is filed under the name uncultured eukaryote. RNAcentral's name for it is "partial 18S ribosomal RNA". It matches the Rfam family "Eukaryotic small subunit ribosomal RNA", at positions 1470 to 1796 of the family's 1831-position model. The record is from RNAcentral.
CCCUUAGAUGUCCUGGGCCGCACGCGCGUUACACUGAUGCAUUCAACGAGCUUAUAACCUUGGCCGAGAGGCCUGGGCAAUCUUGUUAACGUGCAUCGUGAUAGGGAUAGAUUAUUGAAAUUAUUAAUCUUGAACGAGGAAUUCCUAGUAAACGCAGAUCAUCAAUCUGCAUUGAUUACGUCCCUGCCCUUUGUACACACCGCCCGUCGCACCUACCGAUUGGAUGGUCCGGUGAAGCCUCGUGAUUGUGGUUCUUGCCGCUUUAUUGUGGCGUGACCGCGAGAACUUGUCUAAACCUUAUCAUCUAGAGGAAGGUGAAGUCGUAACA